CGGACGGGUGAGUAAUGUCUGGGAAACUGCCUGAUGGAGGGGGAUAACUACUGGAAACGGUAGCUAAUACCGCAUAACGUCGCAAGGACCAAAGAGGGGGACCUUCGGGCCUCUUGCCAUCGGAUGUGCCCAGAUGGGAUUAGCUAGUAGGUGGGGUAAAGGCUCACCUAGGCGACGAUCCCUAGCUGGUCUGAGAGGAUGACCAGCCACACUGGAACUGAGACACGGUCCAG
Molecule: ribosomal RNA, 233 nt
Filed under: uncultured bacterium
Lineage: Bacteria
Description: partial 16S ribosomal RNA
Rfam family: Bacterial small subunit ribosomal RNA
Source: RNAcentral